This 498-nucleotide unclassified non-coding RNA is filed under the name uncultured Glomus. RNAcentral describes it as "SSU rRNA". It matches the Rfam family "Eukaryotic small subunit ribosomal RNA", at positions 591 to 1092 of the family's 1831-position model. Lineage: Eukaryota; Fungi; Glomeromycota; Glomeromycetes; Glomerales; Glomeraceae. The record is from RNAcentral.
CCAAUAGCGUAUAUUAAAGUUGUUGCAGUUAAAAAGCUCGUAGUUGAAUUUCGGGAUUAGUACGCUGGUCGUGCCUUCGGUAUGUACUGGUGUUACUGGUUCCUACCUUCUGACGAACCGUCAUGUCAUUAAUUUGGUGUGGCGGGAAAUCAGGACUGUUACUUUGAACAAAUUAGAGUGUUUAAAGCAGGCUCGCGCUUGAAUACAUUAGCAUGGAAUAAUGAAAUAGGACGUUCGAUCCUAUUUUGUUGGUUUCUAGGAUUGACGUAAUGAUUAAUAGGGAUAGUUGGGGGCAUUAGUAUUCAAUUGUCAGAGGUGAAAUUCUUGGAUUUAUUGAAGACUAACUACUGCGAAAGCAUUUGCCAAGGAUGUUUUCAUUAAUCAAGAACGAAAGUUAGGGGAUCGAAGACGAUCAGAUACCGUCGUAGUCUUAACCAUAAACUAUGCCGACUAGGGAUCGGAUGAUGUUAUUUUUAAUGACUCAUUCGGCGCCUUACG